RNAcentral lists this small nuclear RNA (100 nucleotides) under Zalophus californianus (California sea lion). The record is from RNAcentral. Lineage: Eukaryota; Metazoa; Chordata; Mammalia; Carnivora; Otariidae.
CUGCUUCAGCAGCAUGUACACUAAAAAUUGAAAGGAUAUAGAGAAGAGUAACAUGGCCCCUGAAUGAAUGACACAAAUUCAUGAAGUGUUCCCUAAUUUU